CGGGUGGUAAUGCCGGAUGCUCCAGUUGGAUGCAUGUCCUUCUGGGAAAGAUUCAUCGGUAUGGGAUGGGGUCGCGUCCUAUCAGCUUGAUGGCGGGGUAACGGCCCACCAUGGCUUCGACGGGUAGCCGGCCUGAGAGGGCGACCGGCCACAUUGGGACUGAGAUACGGCCCAGACUCCUACGGGAGGCAGCAGUGGGGAAUAUUGCACAAUGGGCGCAAGCCUGAUGCAGCGACGCCGCGUGCGGGAUGACGGCCUUCGGGUUGUAAACCGCUUUUGACUGGGAGCAAGCCCUUCGGGGUGAGUGUACCUUUCGAAUAAGCACCGGCUAACUACGUGCCAGCAGCCGCGGUAAUACGUAGGGUGCAAGCGUUAUCCGGAAUUAUUGGGCGUAAAGGGCUCGUAGGCGGUUCGUCGCGUCCGGUGUGAAAGUCCAUCGCUUAACGGUGGAUCCGCGCCGGGUACGGGCGGGCUUGAGUGCGGUAGGGGAGACUGGAAUUCCCGGUGUAACGGUGGAAUGUGUAGAUAUCGGAAAAGA
RNAcentral lists this ribosomal RNA (538 nucleotides) under Bifidobacterium adolescentis. Its description in RNAcentral is "bacterial SSU rRNA". It matches the Rfam family "Bacterial small subunit ribosomal RNA", at positions 157 to 706 of the family's 1533-position model. Lineage: Bacteria; Bacillati; Actinomycetota; Actinomycetes; Bifidobacteriales; Bifidobacteriaceae. The record is from RNAcentral.